GUUUAUUUCAUAUUUUUCAUUCCUAUUUAAGCAACACAGGUCCCAUGCACUCUGUAAACACUUUUUUUUCAAUUCUUUGUUUUUAUUAUGCAUAAAAUUACAUACAAGCCUAUAUGGCCACAAGAGUGGUAACAAGCAUUACAACGACAUACUUUGUCAUGGCAUUUGAGUUAACUGCACAUGAUUUUAUAUUUGAAAAUGAACAAAAGUAAAUUAAAUACAAGAUUAUGUGGAAUUACCUCUAUACAUUAAUAUAUUAAUUUUAAUUAAUACAUUUAAAUUUUAUCAAUUAAACUGCAGAUUAUGCAUGACAGAAAAUAAAAUUAAGCUUGAUUAUCUAAAUCUGUAGUGAGCGAGCAGAGCUAAGACUAAUAUUAGGAUGGUAUCAAUAGAUUCAAGUUUGCACGUUUACCACCCUACAGCUCUAGAAUCAAGUAGGAGACAUCCAUAUUGAGUAAGAGCUUUUAAAGUUGUGAUUGCACCUAGGGUAUGCUAAAUUGAUUAAUACAAAUAAAACGUUUAUCAAUGAAAAACAACAGGAAAUUAGUAAAGAGCAUGUUACUCUAACAUUUAGCUACCCUACAUAUAACAUGUAGUAUAUGGCUUCACUUGGUGCUCAACCUAUCCCCAUUAUAGGGAAUUUACUGUCCCACAUUGCAUGGAUCUGUGAACCAAGAGCCGGAGGUGUCAGCAGCUGACCUGGCAUGUGUAUAUGCUUUCCUCCCUUCUCCUCAACUUUCCGCUUGUCGCCCCCAUGUGCAUAGGAGCUGUAUAGCUGUGUAGCUUUCCGGCUCACUGCUUGCCUGCUCGUUGCCGAUCUGUUCACAGUUUGUCUUGCGGUGUGUGUAAGCAGCCGGCGCUGUCUCAGGCGUAACGGGCCUCUGGCAAAUACUGCUGGGCUGCCUAGUGUGUAACAGGAUGGUUGUGUGGGAGUCGUCACAGUCUCAGGUAUUGACUUUUUGGCCCUUAGCUUCUACCAAAUUGCAUCUAAGAGGGCAUCCAGGCGCUGGAGAGUAGAGGUCAUCACUCCUUCUUUGGUGAGGAUACCCGCAGCGUCCGCCAUCUUAGGGAUACUUUUGACGUUAAUGUCGGCUUCCGUAACACGCUUGGGGCUCUGCCUGCAUCUAUCCAGGAGAGCGGACGCCUCUCCCCUCAGCAGCGCCUGCUAGGCCUCAUUGUACACUGGCUACUUGAUGGAUUUAGAGGACUGCAGGGCAUGUUCCCGAUCGCUCUGUCAUGUCGUAAGACUAAUAGCUUAGAAAUAGUUGCUGAAUUAGCUCAGAAAUUCAAUUUGUACAGUGAAUCUCAGGGUGCUCCCCAGAAACACAUCUAUUCGCCAUGCUGUUCAGGCCCCGCCCCCUGUAAACACCUUUAAAGUCAUUUCAAAUAUUGUUUUUACCUAUUUAUUUUAUCUUUGAUUCUGUUUUUAUUGUUUUUUUAAAUAAAAGUAUUUUUUUAU
Pelobates cultripes (western spadefoot toad) is the source of this 1459-nucleotide non-coding RNA. Lineage: Eukaryota; Metazoa; Chordata; Amphibia; Anura; Pelobatidae. The record is from the annotation of a GenBank genome assembly.